Molecule: small nucleolar RNA, 114 nt
Filed under: Aegilops tauschii subsp. strangulata
Lineage: Eukaryota; Viridiplantae; Streptophyta; Magnoliopsida; Poales; Poaceae
Description: snoRNA SNORD14
Source: RNAcentral
CGGAAAUGAUGAUAAAGUUAAAGUUGUUUCUCAAAACUUUCGCAGUUUCCGCCUAAGAGCUUUUGCUUUGCCAGACUUGAGAUGCUGCUUCUUCCUUCCUUGGAUACUGAGCUU